UGACAGGUUCCAGUGAGGCUGCAGCCCGUCAGCCGGCAUGCCAGAGGGCGCUAUCUCAACUGGCUCCUUUUAUUGGCUGAUGUGGUCCUGUGACCCCAACCGGCAGCACUGAGGAGGCGGUGCAUUGGCUCCAGAUUCUGUUGGAUGGGGCAUGCCUUACAUCUGCUAACUCCGCCCUUUAAGGUAUAGUAUGCAGACUCAAGGUCAGGGGAAUAAGAAAACCAUUAGAGCUCAACUCAGCCAGCGCUUACUGGGCCUACUGGGGAAGGACGAGAUGGACUCCAGCAGAGGUACCUCAGUGAGAAACGUUCUAGAUGAGUGAUUUGUGAAGAGAGGUCUGGAGAAACCUGGGUUUGAGGACAACACUUCUGGGACCAAAGUCACCUUCUCCACCCCUCUACUCU
Molecule: long non-coding RNA, 404 nt
Organism: Oncorhynchus kisutch (coho salmon)
Lineage: Eukaryota; Metazoa; Chordata; Actinopteri; Salmoniformes; Salmonidae
Exons: 3
Source: RefSeq, a predicted model, not a curated record